This is a long non-coding RNA of Thalassophryne amazonica, 155 nucleotides long. RefSeq lists it as uncharacterized. The transcript is spliced from 2 exons. The record is from RefSeq and is a predicted model, not a curated record. Lineage: Eukaryota; Metazoa; Chordata; Actinopteri; Batrachoidiformes; Batrachoididae.
UCCUCCAGGAACACCUUAGGGGAAAAUCCACACUUGGUGUCCGGUCAAAGUGUGCUAUCAUCGACUAACCUUAGCCUGCUUCUUGCACCCCUCCAGACAUCCAGCUUUCCCUCCCACAGCACCGCUGACCACCAGGGUCGGAUGAUAAUGAUGAU